UCCGGAGCCCCCGCCUGCCUUGCUUGGUCCUGCUGGACGGAGGCAGCUUUGCAGGCUCCAGCCUUAAAGGGAGGGGCUGCCCACCGUCAGCGGUCGGGGAGCCAGCAGCUGCGAAAUAGGGCGCCGGAUCCCCAGCAAAGAAGCAGGAAGGGCCAGGCAUGCGAUUGGUGCCCACAUUCCGGCUGGCAAGGCUGCCUCAGUGUCUGUUUUCCAGAGCGGCUAUUUCCAUAUACACUGAGGUUAGGCUCUCCUGCUCUGGACUGCUAACAUCUGCAGUUUGAAGGUUGAUCUCUCACUUCAUCCAGCCUACUGAUGUGGAUUGGCUCCCUAAAGCAGUUGGUGCCUCUGUGGACAGCAUGGAAAGAGCGGUGGAGCUGUCCGAUGUGGCGGGUGGCCAGUCCUUCUCCUUAAUUUCAUCAGAAUAAAGAGCAGGAAAGAUUCACUGUGUCUCUUACAGGGGCUCUCUUCUCAUCAGAAAAGUCAAAAAGCAUUUUGCUUUUCAUGUUGAAAAAAUAAACACAAACAGAUCAACUCUC
This is a non-coding RNA of Pantherophis guttatus, 536 nucleotides long. The record is from RefSeq and is a predicted model, not a curated record. Lineage: Eukaryota; Metazoa; Chordata; Lepidosauria; Squamata; Colubridae.